RNAcentral lists this ribosomal RNA (467 nucleotides) under uncultured bacterium. RNAcentral describes it as "partial 16S ribosomal RNA". It matches the Rfam family "Bacterial small subunit ribosomal RNA", at positions 28 to 506 of the family's 1533-position model. The record is from RNAcentral.
GACGAACGCUGGCGGCGUGCUUAACACAUGCAAGUCGAACGGAAAGGCCCUGCUUUUGUGGGGUGCUCGAGUGGCGAACGGGUGAGUAACACGUGAGUAACCUGCCCUUGACUUUGGGAUAACUUCAGGAAACUGGGGCUAAUACCGGAUAGGAGCUCCUGCUGCAUGGUGGGGGUCGGAAAGUUUCGGCGGUUGGGGAUGGACUCGCGGCUUAUCAGCUUGUUGGUGGGGUAGUGGCUUACCAAGGCUUUGACGGGUAGCCGGCCUGAGAGGGUGACCGGCCACAUUGGGACUGAGAUACGGCCCAGACUCCUACGGGAGGCAGCAGUGGGGAAUAUUGCACAAUGGGCGGAAGCCUGAUGCAGCAACGCCGCGUGCGGGAUGACGGCCUUCGGGUUGUAAACCGCUUUCGCCUGUGACGAAGCGUGAGUGACGGUAAUGGGUAAAGAAGCACCGGCUAACUACGU